GCGUGAGUGAAGAAGGCCUUAGGGUUGUAAAGCUCUUUCAGCGGGGAAGAUGAUGACGGUACCCGCAGAAGAAGCCCCGGCUAACUCCGUGCCAGCAGCCGCGGUAAUACGGAGGGGGCUAGCGUUGUUCGGAAUUACUGGGCGUAAAGGGCGCGCAGGCGGUUUUAUCAGUUAGGCGUGAAAGCCCCGGGCUCAACCUGGGAACUGCGCUUAAUACUGUAAGACUUGAGAUCGGAAGAGGAUGGUGGAAUUCCCAGUGUAGAGGUGAAAUUCGU
RNAcentral lists this ribosomal RNA (275 nucleotides) under uncultured bacterium. Its description in RNAcentral is "partial 16S ribosomal RNA". It matches the Rfam family "Bacterial small subunit ribosomal RNA", at positions 399 to 691 of the family's 1533-position model. The record is from RNAcentral.